RNAcentral lists this ribosomal RNA (640 nucleotides) under uncultured delta proteobacterium. RNAcentral's name for it is "bacterial SSU rRNA". It matches the Rfam family "Bacterial small subunit ribosomal RNA", at positions 40 to 656 of the family's 1533-position model. The record is from RNAcentral. Lineage: Bacteria; Deltaproteobacteria.
CGGAGUGCUUAGACAUGCAAGUCUGACGAGAAAGUCGCCUUCGGGUGACGAGUACAGUGGCGCACGGGUGAGUAACGCGUGGACAAUCUGCCCUUUGGUUUGGGAUAACCCCGGGAAACUGGAGCUAAUACCGAAUAAGCCCACACCGUCUUCGGGCGGAGCGGGAAAAGAUGGCCUCUCCUUGGAAGCUGUCGCCAAUUGAUGAGUCCGCGUACCAUUAGCUUGUUGGUGAGGUAACGGCUCACCAAGGCUACGAUGGUUAGCUGGUCUGAGAGGAUGAUCAGCCACACUGGAACUGAGACACGGUCCAGACUCCUACGGGAGGCAGCAGUCGGGAAUCUUGGGCAAUGGGGGAAACCCUGACCCAGCAACUCCGCGUGAGGGAUGAAGGCCUUCGGGUCGUAAACCUCUGUCGGGAGGGAAGAAAGCCUCGUUGGGAAUAUCUUCGAGGUUUGACGGUACCUCCAAAGGAAGCACCGGCUAACUCCGUGCCAGCAGCCGCGGUAAUACGGAGGGUGCAAGCGUUGUUCGGAAUUAUUGGGCGUAAAGCGGAUGUAGGCGGUCUGUUAAGUCGGAUGUGAAAUCCCUGGGCUCAACCCAGGAACUGCAUUCGAUACUGGCAAACUAGAGUCUCGGAGGG